UACGAAGGGGGCUAGCGUUGUUCGGAAUUACUGGGCGUAAAGCGCGCGCAGGCGGUCUUCCAAGUCAGUGGUGAAAGCCCGGAGCUCAACUCCGGAAUUGCCAUUGAAACUGUGAGACUGGAGUACGAGAGAGGUGAGUGGAAUUCCCAGUGUAGAGGUGAAAUUCGUAGAUAUUGGGAAGAACACCGGUGGCGAAGGCGGCUCACUGGCUCGGUACUGACGCUGAGGUGCGAAAGCGUGGGGAGCAAACAGG
RNAcentral lists this ribosomal RNA (253 nucleotides) under uncultured bacterium. RNAcentral's name for it is "partial 16S ribosomal RNA". It matches the Rfam family "Bacterial small subunit ribosomal RNA", at positions 524 to 776 of the family's 1533-position model. The record is from RNAcentral.